CUAUUCCCUUUCUUUUUAUCAAACCCCCAACUCCAGGAAACUCCUAGGACUCGGUCCACAGCAACUUUCUGUUCUUUCAGCUUCAGUCUUCCUUAAUUCAUUUUAUCUAUUUUCCUGGUUCCCAAUGCCAUCUAGACAUCCAUCUAUCUAGCAAGCAAUCCACAGUCUUUAUUUAAAACUGCCUCCAAAGGAACCCACAACACUCUGACAUGACCUCCUUCAUCUUGGAAGUGCAUUCUUUGUAAGAAAAAGUCUCCCUUGCAUGGUGCUGAAAUCCACGUUAUCCUAACCGGUAGGCUUCAUAAUGAUAACACUGGGACACUCCAGGAAUCUGAAGUGGUUUCAGAAUCAUGUAGAGCUCUAUGGGGAAAGAGAAAGCGUGUGUGUGAACCAGAGAGCAAGCUUCCAUCUGCUGCUUCACCCCCCAAAUGGUCUACACAGCCAGGUCUGGGCAAGGCUGAAGCCAGCUCUCUACUGUGACCUGGAAAGGCAGUAGAAGAUGGCUCAAGUGCUUGGGCCCCUGAAUCUGUAUGGGAGACCAGGAAGAAGCACUUGGCUCCUGGCUUCGGAUCAGCACAGCUCUGGACACUGCGGAGUAAACCAAUGGAAGGAAGACCUUUCUCUCUGUCUCUCCCUUUCACUGUAACUCUACCUCUCAAAUAAAUAAAGAAAUAAAAUCUUUAAAAUAUAUAUCAUAUUAAAUUUAUUACUUCCUAGAGUAUAAAUAGAUAGAUAUAGAGAUAGAUGUCCUAUGUUCCAAAAGGAAAACUUUUACUCACUUUUAUUUCAAUACCACAUGCUUCUAUCACAUUAAUAUAAUCUGACAAUUUUUCAAGAUUAUAAUUUUAUUUGUUCUUUCAGAAUUUUUUCUUUGUCUUUGGUAGUUUGAGGGUUGAAUAUGUUACUCCCAGGAACGUGUGUGUGUGUGUGUGUGUGUGUGGUGCUUGUGUUUUGUUUUUAUUCUAUUCUAUCUUUUUAUACUUUCCCCAAGCUUCAUAGAUGUGUGAUUUGGUAUCUGCCACUAAUUUUGGAAAGUUUUUAAUAUUACUCCCAGUAUUCCUUGUGCUCUAUUCUUUCUUUCUUUCUUUACUUUCUGGCAUUCCAAUUACAGAUAUUCCUUUUAAAACUUUCUCUCCACUUUAAAUAUUCUAUUAUGUUUUAUGUAUUCUUUGAUUUCAGUUUGGGAACUUUCUGUUAAUCUAUUUUACUUCACUGAUUUUUCCUGGGACAUGUGCUAUUUACUAAUGUGCCAUCAAAGGCAUUCUUCAUUUCUGUUAGUUUGAUUUGAUUUCUAAUAUUUCCAUUUGUUUUUUUCUUAGAAUAUCCAUAUCUUCUUACAUCACCUAUUUGUUCCUGCAGCAUAUAUACAUUUUCCACUAGAGCAUUUCACAUGUUCAUAGUAGUUAUUUUUAAUUAUUCAAUAAUUCAGUAUCUGGGUAAUAUCUGAGUCCAGUUCUGAUGACUGCUUUGUGUAUUGAGAUUGGUUUUGGUUUUGGUUUUUAGUUUUUUGCCUUUUGGCAUGCUUUGUAAUUUUCUAUCAUAAGCCAGACAUGUUAUAUAGGGUGACGGGACCUGUGGUAAAUAGGCCUUUAGUGUUAUGUUAAUCUGGCUAGGAAUUGAACUGUGCUUAGUAUUUCUUGUACCUACAGGUAUCCUUAGCUUCAAAUCAAUCCUGUGUCAUUGCUUUUUCCUCUGCUGACUUGGCCCUUCCUUAUGCACUCUUCUCCAGACAGACUCAGUGUCUUGUAGAAGAUUCAGCUGCAAUCCACUGCUGUCCCACCUAGAAUUGUGGUAGUAAAGUGUAAAGGAGGAGGAACAUUCUGUACUCUUCCACUGAGACCUCAUUAUUGUAGUCAGUGGUGUCUCAGGACAGUGACCUUCGAAAACGUCUCUCCAGUAUACUAUAUUUUACAUCUUGCAUUCUACUCCCUUCCUGGGCUUUGUCAUUCCCAGAUUACUUCCUUAAAGGUUAAAUGCUAUUGACUCUGCUGGUCUAUCCUUAUAUGACAAAAGAAGCCCAGUAGGGAUUAGAGUUGAAAAAGAUUCUCUUAUUCCCAACUGAAAAGCAGGUUUUAUAAUUACUCCCUGGCAGAAUUUCCACACGGAGAAUAUGCCUUUGUUAUGCAGAGGUCUUGGGCAUACUUCUUUGCAUCCUCUGCCAAAGUCUUUUAAGUGGAUUCUUCUCAAAACCUCACUGUUAAAACCUGGUGGUAUUCCUGGAAAUUCCACAAAAGGGUAGGAAACCCUCAAGACUGAGGCCCCAAUAUUUGCUCUCUCUCGUGUUACUUCAGGCAGGCUUGAACAGUUCAUCAGAUGUCCAUACAAGCACUCCUAAUCCGUCUAUAGCUCCAACAGCUUCUGCUCCAAGAGACCUCAUCUCAGCUGCUUGGAUGUGCCUGUCUCACCAGAUUUUGUGGUGAUGGUUUUCUGUGACAUCCUUAUUCUCUACUGGACUACAGAAAAUGUGUUAGUUUAGUUUGUCCAACUUUUUCUUCUUGUGAGGACAACAGUCAUGGCUUCAAAACUCUACCUGUUAAUGCUGAAACCAGAGCAAACUUAACAAGACGUUUUAGUGGUUUCUUUGCUCAUCAUGCUUGUGAUAAAAUACAUUUAGGAUUUUUAAAUAUUUUUGUGAGCUGUAACUUUAAUCAACUUUUCCAAUAGGGUUUAUAGGUGGUAAGUGUCCAAAGUCCAUGGGAUAUCUAUCUCCGUUGUUAUUUUAUCAUUCACAGGAAUGAGUUGGUUUGGGCAUAAAAUUCAAGCCUCAUAAUCUUUUUUUCCCUAAUUCUUAUUUAUUUAUUUUUUUUGACAGAGUAGACAGUGAGAGAGACUUCAUUCUCUUUUUUUUUAUUUUUAUUUUUUUUGACAGGCAGAGUGGACAGUGAGAGAAAGAGACAGAGAGAAGGUCUUCCUUUGCUGUUGGUUCACCCUCCAAUGGCCGCCGCGGCCGGCGCGCUGUGGCUGGUGCACUGCGCUGAUCCGAUGGCAGGAGCCUGGUACUUAUCCUGGUCUCCCAUGGAGUGCAGGGCCCAAGCACUUGAGCCAUCCUUCACUGUACUCCCUGGCCACAGCAGAGAGCUGGCCUGGAAGAGGGGCAACCGGGACAGAAUCCGGCGCCCCAACCGGGACUAGAACCCCGUGUGCCGGUGCCGCAAGGCAGUGGAUUAGCCUAGUGAGCCACGGCGCCGGCCAAUUCUUAUUCUUUAGAAGAUAUUGCUGAAACGUUUUCUUGAGACCAGCCCUUUUUUAAAAGGAAGAAUUGGUCACCAACAUUUCUUGAUAUAUGGCUCUAGAAUUCCACUUAUAGUAUCUCCAGUUGUGGAUUUUCUGUUUUUACUCCCCAGGAACAGUUCCAUCUCAUGAGUCUCUCAGUGGUAAGGCAAUGUCUUCUCCUUUCUCUACCUACUUCUUUAAAAACAAUGGUGAAAUCCACAUAAUAUAAAAUUAACCAUUUUGAAGUGUAUGGUCCAUAUGCAUUGGUUAUGCAACCACAUCCUUCAUCUAAUUCCAAACCAUUUUCUUAACUCUAAAACUAAACAAAAAGCAAUUAUGUCUUUUUUCUGUUCUGUAUUGCUAUAAUAGAAUACCAUCGACUUGGUAAUUUAUUUAAAAAGACAUUUAUUUCCCACAUAUCUGGAGGCUGAGAAGUCAUUAUCAAAAUGCUGACCUCUGGUGAGGGUCUUUGUGUUGCCUCUUCCUAUUGGCAGAAGGUGGAAGGGAAAGAAGUCCUGAGGGCAAGACACCAUGAGAAAGCUGAACCUGUUUUUAUAACAAGCCCACUCUAGUGAUAAUUAAUUCAUCCGCUGGAUAGUGACAUUAAUUCAUUCAUGGGGGCAGAGACUCCAUGAGCUAAUUACUUCUUAUUAGGCAGCAUUUUCCAACCCUGUAGCAUCGAUGAUUGUUUCCAACAUUUGCACUUUAUAAUAAACUUUCAAACCACAGCAAACCUCAUGGCCAUUAAUCAGUGAUUCCCCAUUCUUUCCAUACCGCAGCACCGGGAAAUCACUAAUUUUCUUUCUGUUUUAAGGAAUUUACCUAUUUUAGAUAUUUUGUAUAAAUAGAACCAUAAAUUAUAUGUGACCCUGUGAUAUGGGACAAAUCAGGGAGACAGUUUAGGCCCAUGAGCUGCAGGCCACACCCUUUGCCCCUAAGUGAUCUCACCUGUAUCCACUCACCUGUCAAUCAGACUAUGUAACCACUGCCCUUUUGGAAGUUAAGAAGAGGCUGGAGCACACGGAGUCCACCCCGCUCUGCUGCUUCUCAUGCCUGCUCCUCUGCACCCCGUUUUUACCACCAGCCGCUGCUCUCCCAUCCUCGUGCCCUCUCCUGCUUUCAGGAGAGGCUGGUAUGGAACUCCCCACUUACUUUUUCUGACCCACUUUUCCUUAAUAAAGCCCUCACGUUCCUGUGUAUUUCUCUCACUUUCCAAAUAAAUCCUGAACUUGACCAUGUUGUCUGCCUUGUUUGCACUGGGCUUAGAAUUCUUAUCUGAGUAAACAGAAAGAACCUGACAUAUUAAA
Molecule: long non-coding RNA, 4520 nt
Organism: Oryctolagus cuniculus (rabbit)
Lineage: Eukaryota; Metazoa; Chordata; Mammalia; Lagomorpha; Leporidae
Source: RefSeq, a predicted model, not a curated record